AAAUUGAAGAGUUUGAUCAUGGCUCAGAUUGAACGCUGGCGGCAGGCCUAACACAUGCAAGUCGAGCGGUAGCACAGAGAGCUUGCUCUCGGGUGACGAGCGGCGGACGGGUGAGUAAUGUCUGGGAAACUGCCUGAUGGAGGGGGAUAACUACUGGAAACGGUAGCUAAUACCGCAUAACGUCGCAAGACCAAAGUGGGGGACCUUCGGGCCUCAUGCCAUCAGAUGUGCCCAGAUGGGAUUAGCUAGUAGGUGGGGUAACGGCUCACCUAGGCGACGAUCCCUAGCUGGUCUGAGAGGAUGACCAGCCACACUGGAACUGAGACACGGUCCAGACUCCUACGGGAGGCAGCAGUGGGGAAUAUUGCACAAUGGGCGCAAGCCUGAUGCAGCCAUGCCGCGUGUGUGAAGAAGGCCUUCGGGUUGUAAAGCACUUUCAGCGGGGAGGAAGGCGGUGAGGUUAAUAACCUCAUCGAUUGACGUUACCCGCAGAAGAAGCACCGGCUAACUCCGUGCCAGCAGCCGCGGUAAUACGGAGGGUGCAAGCGUUAAUCGGAAUUACUGGGCGUAAAGCGCACGCAGGCGGUCUGUCAAGUCGGAUGUGAAAUCCCCGGGCUUAACCUGGGAACUGCAUUCGAAACUGGCAGGCUAGAGUCUUGUAGAGGGGGGUAGAAUUCCAGGUGUAGCGGUGAAAUGCGUAGAGAUCUGGAGGAAUACCGGUGGCGAAGGCGGCCCCCUGGACAAAGACUGACGCUCAGGUGCGAAAGCGUGGGAGCAAACAGGAUUAGAUACCCUGGUAGUCCACGCCGUAAACGAUGUCGAUUUGGAGGUUGUGCCCUUGAGGCGUGGCUUCCGGAGCUAACGCGUUAAAUCGACCGCCUGGGGAGUACGGCCGCAAGGUUAAAACUCAAAUGAAUUGACGGGGGCCCGCACAAGCGGUGGAGCAUGUGGUUUAAUUCGAUGCAACGCGAAGAACCUUACCUGGUCUUGACAUCCACAGAACUUUCCAGAGAUGGAUUGGUGCCUUCGGGAACUGUGAGACAGGUGCUGCAUGGCUGUCGUCAGCUCGUGUUGUGAAAUGUUGGGUUAAGUCCCGCAACGAGCGCAACCCUUAUCCUUUGUUGCCAGCGGUCCGGCCGGGAACUCAAAGGAGACUGCCAGUGAUAAACUGGAGGAAGGUGGGGAUGACGUCAAGUCAUCAUGGCCCUUACGACCAGGGCUACACACGUGCUACAAUGGCAUAUACAAAGAGAAGCGACCUCGCGAGAGCAAGCGGACCUCAUAAAGUAUGUCGUAGUCCGGAUUGGAGUCUGCAACUCGACUCCAUGAAGUCGGAAUCGCUAGUAAUCGUAGAUCAGAAUGCUACGGUGAAUACGUUCCCGGGCCUUGUACACACCGCCCGUCACACCAUGGGAGUGGGUUGCAAAAGAAGUAGGUAGCUUAACCUUCGGGAGGGCGCUUACCACUUUGUGAUUCAUGACUGGGGUGAAGUCGUAACAAGGUAACCGUAGGGGAACCUGCGGUUGGAUCACCUCCUUACCUUAAAGAA
This 1549-nucleotide ribosomal RNA is filed under the name Klebsiella pneumoniae. RNAcentral's name for it is "bacterial SSU rRNA". It matches the Rfam family "Bacterial small subunit ribosomal RNA". Lineage: Bacteria; Pseudomonadati; Pseudomonadota; Gammaproteobacteria; Enterobacterales; Enterobacteriaceae. The record is from RNAcentral.